CCUACGGGGUGCAGCAGUGAGGAAUAUUGGUCCAUGGGCGCGAGCCUGAACCAGCCAAGUCGCGUGAGGGAAGACGGUCCUAUGGAUUGUAAACCUCUUUUGUCGGGGAGCAAAAGACGCCACGCGUGGCGUUCCGAGAGUACCCGAAGAAAAAGCAUCGGCUAACUCCGUGCCAGCAGCCGCGGUAAUACGGAGGAUGCGAGCGUUAUCCGGAUUUAUUGGGUUUAAAGGUUGCGCAGGCGGAAGAUCAAGUCAGCGGUAAAAGUGAGAGGCUCAACCUCUUCGAGCCGUUGAAACUGGUUUUCUUGAGUGAGUGAGAAGUAUGCGGAAUGCGUGGUGUAGCGGUGAAAUGCAUAGAUAUCACGCAGAACUCCGAUUGCGAAGGCAGCAUACCGGCGCUCAACUGACGCUCAUGCACGAAAGUGUGGGUAUCGAACAGGAUUAGAUACCCCUGUAGUC
Molecule: ribosomal RNA, 459 nt
Filed under: uncultured bacterium
Lineage: Bacteria
Description: partial 16S ribosomal RNA
Rfam family: Bacterial small subunit ribosomal RNA
Source: RNAcentral